This is a long non-coding RNA of Ostrea edulis (European flat oyster), 2788 nucleotides long. RefSeq lists it as uncharacterized. The record is from RefSeq and is a predicted model, not a curated record. Lineage: Eukaryota; Metazoa; Mollusca; Bivalvia; Ostreida; Ostreidae. The transcript is spliced from 3 exons.
AAAUCGUGUAUAUUCACGUGAAUUUAUUUUCCGGAAUUCCGUACACCGUCAUAGAAUAGUUGAAAAACAUAAAGGGGUUCCGAAAGUACAAGUUGUUGCUGUGACUGACUCGAUGAUUGAGGGGGUCGUCUCGACGAAAGAUAGAGACAAUUGGCCAUAGUUUAGAUUAGGAAUACGUCAAUGUAAUAAUAGUGGACCAAAUGUUUCGUCCGUGCAGAAUGGCACUUUUUACCUCACGACCAUGCAUAGCUGCGCUACGUAAACAAUUUUACAAAGUUGUUGAUGUAGCGUGAUCGUGAUGUCAUGUCUGACUCCGAGUGCUGCGGGUUUCAAUACUGUUUAUGUAGUCAUUGAGAGUUUAAACAAAGUUUCUUCUGAGAAGAGGAAUUCGAUGGAUGCAUUCAACGUGGACAACGAGAUUAUAAUUUCGUUUGUGUCAUCCUAAGGACCAGUGCAAGUUGAAAUGGGCUUCGAGUCAACAACUUCAACAGCAAUUUGCCUUGAAAAUCAGCAAGAAAGGUACUUCAUUUACAUUGAUGAUGUCAUAUCCCCUGAACCCCACAACUUUACAGGUUACAGAGAAAAUUCAAGAACUUCUGCACAAUGUGGGACUCGGAUAGAAUCAAUAAUGUAUUUGUGAGCCCAGAUAUAUUGUGCAACAUACUAAAGUGUGAAUUUAAUUGAAAACAAGUACAUGUACUCAUGUAUACUAUUAUAUGUCUUUCUUAAAGACAAUAAUAUUGCAUAAAUGUAGAUGAAGUGACAUUGUUGAUUAUUCAAAGUUUUUGAUAUAUCAAAAUCAGUAAACAUUUCUAAAUGAAAAUAAAAUACCAAUUUUAUAACUUUUAAUCAAUGUGUUUGAAUUUCUCAUUUUCUACCCCCCCCCCCCCCCAACACAUUCAGUGCAUAUAUACCGUGAACUGGGAGAAAUUACAAAUAGAUAAUGCAGUAUGCAUGUAUUCUGAGUUAUCCAAUAGCGAGUUUUUGUUUCAGUGUGAGACUACAAGUAGGACUCAUAAACUUAUGAAGAUACAUAUAUAUUUGUGAGAGCAAGAUAGCUGAUAUGGGCCUCGAGAUCCAUGGGUCGAGCCACGGUGGUGGUCUAGAGGUUAGAGCAUUCGCCCCGCAUGCAGAAUGCCGGGGUUCGAAUCCCGGCCGAGACAGACCUAAGCCGUUAAAACAGGUAAUGAAAGUUCCAUUGCCAAACGCUCGGCAUCAGAUGUGAAUGUCACGGGUCCUCGGAUAUGACCUUAAAAACGGAUUCCCAGUGUCACUGUAGGUGUGGCACUCUAAAGAACCCUCACUGCGCAAUGGCCGUAAGCGCUGAGCAAAGGCCUAAAUUUGAAGCCCUUCACCGGUCUUGGUGACGUCUCCAUAUGAGUGAAAAAUGCUCGAGAGAGAGAUAGACGUUAAACAAGAUACAAUCAAUCAAUCCAUGGGUCGCUUGGAUUGAAAUUUUUCUAUUGAUAUUGAAUAUAAAGUUGUUAUUUAAACAUAUUUGGUGCACUAUGCUGUAUAAUCAUAUCAAUUUCUUCAAAUAGGUAUAAUAGGUAAGCGUGUCUGGUUAUUAUAGAGAAUUGUAUGAAAAAUAACUGAAUAUUAAUGCAAUCAUUGUGAGUGCAAAAAGGUCAAUUGAAAGAGCACAUACAUAAAUGCAUUGGGUGAUUUAACGGGGGGGGGGGGGGGGGGGGGCAACCGGCGCGAGCCCCCCUAAAAUUAUCAAGUUUAAGGUAAAUCGUGGUAUGUUGUUUAGAAAAAUGUAUACGAUAAAAGAAGCAAUAAUUUCCUCCACUCUCGGAGAAAUAAAUGUCUGACAAAACGUUUUGAUUUAUUGAAUUACUUUUAGACCCAUGCCUCAUACAGUCCGUCCCCCCCCCCCGAUUACAAUUCCCGAUCCGCCCCUGAAAUAACUUAUAGAAACCUUCUUAUUGUCAUGUUCAAUUCUCAGAGGUAAUUUGGGAUCGAAUGCUUAAACAUUUUAAGUUAUUAAAAAGUCAGUAGUUUAUCUCUGCUGGCUAAAUCCUUCUUCUCAAUGCGCGGAGUGCAAUUCAUGAUGUCUAUGUUCCUGCUCAUUCUUUCUCCUCCAUACCAUGCAGUACAUUAAAGGGGUUGGGAUGUAAUGGAGACAUUUGUUUUAACAAAUAUAAAUUGUAUUUCUAUUUUUUGUGGGGAUUUUUAUGUGGGAAAACUCUAAUAUUAAUCAUCAAAUGUGAUGACGUAUGAUAAAUUUAUAUUCUGAGUGUAAGUGCACAAAGGUCAACAACGAGAACUACAACAAAGUAUAAGCUAAAAUUUGAAAUACAUACUUUCUGUAUUAUAUUUAUUAAUUUAAAAAAGGUAUUACAAAGAAUCUUCGAAUUUCAGCAAGCUUUUUUUGAUGGAUUGUUUACAACAUCUUUUAAUAAUCCUUUUUCUUACGAAAAUGUGUAGUUUGUAAAAAGAGGGUGGGGUUAGGAAUUUUUUGCUAGUUCCAUAUUGAACCCCAUUAUGGUGUAUAAUUUUUUUCUUAUAUUUAACUUACUAAUAGACUAACCACUUAAUGAAAUAAAAUAAGAAAUUUGAUGGGUAAUUUUUUUGCAGCUAAAGCAAAAGUAUGACCCUGUGUGCAAAUAUUGUUCAUUAUUUUAAGGUAAUAGGCCAAUGUAGCUUUGUUGAAGUAAUGUUGUUGCAUGUUAACAAUGAUUGCUGAACUUGAAAUUGAUGUGUAAUAUACAAUUAUGUGAAAGGUUGUUUGAAACCAUAUAUGACAAGUUAUGAUCCUUUUUACAAUAAAAAUGUUAUAGCUCUA